Molecule: long non-coding RNA, 963 nt
Organism: Poecilia latipinna (sailfin molly)
Lineage: Eukaryota; Metazoa; Chordata; Actinopteri; Cyprinodontiformes; Poeciliidae
Exons: 2
Source: RefSeq, a predicted model, not a curated record
CUGCCUUGUUGCUGAAAUGUGCUACAUAAAUACUUGAUUGCUUGAUUGAAAAAGGUGUUAAAUAGAAAAGAUAUACAGAAAUAUAUAUAAGUAUAAACAAUCAACAUGUCAUGAUUUAAAGAGUUUCAAGAGAUUACAAAGUUGGGCUUUGCAGCUCCAGUGUUUCACUUUGAGAGUCAUUAUCUACAAAUGGAGAAAACAUGGAACAGUGGUUCUCAGGAGAGGCAAGCCUCACAAAAUUAGUUAAGGACUCAUUCAGAAGAAGACCAGAACCAUCAGCACUGUAGAUUUAAUUUAUUUACGCAUUUCAUGUUUCCACAAGACUGGGAAAAGAUGGCAUCCACUGCCAAACAAGAACAAAUCCCUGACUCAGUGGCUGGGAAACAGAGCCCACAGAACAAAUGAGAAGUAAACACGCAGCCACAGGAAGCCAUUUACUGCAGCAGGGGCCAAUUAGGCCCCAGCAGGUGUUCUGGACUGGGUCGUCUUUGGUCCUGCCUCACCUCCGUCUGGCAGAGCGCCGACCCAGGCUGAGGAAACAACGGGCAGUUUCAUUUACUCAGCAAAGUAUUCCUACAGGAGGGCCCCUAAAAUCCUUUAUUGUGCCCCCUUUGUCCUCUGCCCCACCCCCUCCAAGUGCAAGUCAUUAGAGAAGACAAUUACAUCCUCCUUAUGAAGCUUGACUUUUACAGGAGGGGAAGAUAAGACAGGAUCUCUCUCAUGGAAGACCCCCGGAGCGUAUUGCUGUCUUCACACCCAGAUAGAAGUGAGACGAGACGGUCAAAAUCAAAGUCAAUCCCCAGGGAAGAGAGAGCAGACACAACAUGGGGCUGAAAUUCACAUCCAUGAAGGACCUAAAUGAUACUGUCUCUUAAAAAAAUAAAUGGCCCUCCAGCUGUUUAUUACAUCUUCAUGCACUGUUCCUCUUGAACUAAAUAAACACACUUUGGCUGGUAUCGUUUA